AGCAGACCUCAGUCAUUGGCAGGUAGGCCCCCGAGGGUCCUCGUCCGGAUUUCUGGGUGUCCUCUCUCAAAGGCCCUGCGAUGCAGCGGGACCCUGAGUUGCCCUUUGUGACUCGUUUUUGCCUGCCACUCUGCGCCAGGUGCUACGUGCAGCCCCAGUGGGUGUUUGACUCAGUGAACGCCAGGCUCCUUCUCCCCGUGGCAGAGUACUUCCCUGGGGUGCAGCUGCCCCCACACCUUUCACCCUUUGUGACCGAGAAGGAAGGAGAUUACGUUCCACCUGAGAAGCUGAAGCUGCUGGCUCUGCAGCGGGGAGAGGACCCAGGUGAGCAGGAUGGGACUGGGCUGGCCUUGACCCCUGGGCCCACGCUGGCUGUUUCCCUUAGCUGCCAAGGUGGAAAGCUCCAGGGAACAGGCAGUAGGAGCAGAAAGCCCUUUGAAGUCACCUGUGGAGUAAGGCUUAGGAGAAGGGACAUCUGCCUCCUGGGGUCAGGUAUUAUUUGACGUUCAGGAUGACUGAGCAGAAGAACAUGCUGCAUUGUCAUCAGAGUUUACAUUGGAGGCGACAGAGCUCAGGACUGGGGGUCUUGGAAUUUCCUCUGAUGGCAGCUGGGCUGUGGGGAGGUGCAAGAGAGGGCCACAAUUGGGACAGCCCUGAACUGCCCAUGGCUAAAGACGGCAGGGUCAGAGAGGAUGGGGCCUGGGCCUGUUGUCACCCUGCCAGAGAGACAGUAGAUUCCCAGGGCAUUCAGAGGACAUUGGCUUCUCUAGGAAACCUGAAUGAGUCAGAAGAGGAGGAGGAAGAGGACGACAACAACGAAGGUGAUGGUGAUGAAGAGGGAGAAAAUGAGGAGGAGGAGGAAGAUGCAGAGGCUGGUUCAGAAAAGGAGGAAGAGGCCCGGCUGGCAGCCCUGGAAGAGCAGAGGAUGGAGGGGAAGGUAGGGGGAGCUGCAAUGUGGGGCUUGGCCUGGGAAGCAGCCCUGCUUGGUGCCUGCCCUGGCCUAGAAGGUCAGGAGCCAGAGGAUUGUGGAGGUCGGGAGAACCUGCCCCCACAAGCACCCUCCUUGUGUCCCCAGAAGCCCAGGGUGAUGGCAGGCACCUUGAAGCUGGAGGAUAAGCAGCGGCUGGCCCAGGAGGAGGAGAGUGAGGCCAAGCGCCUGGCCAUUAUGAUGAUGAAGAAGCGGGAGAAGUACCUGUACCAGAAGAUCAUGUUUGGCAAGAGGCGAAAAAUCCGAGAGGCCAACAAGCUGGCGGAGAAGCGGAAAGCCCACGAUGAGGCGGUGAGGUCUGAGAAGAAGGCCAAGAAGGCAAGGCCAGAGUGAGUGCCUGCGGCCCCUCACAGGGCUGAGGCCAGCCCCUAGCAGCUGGAUGUGGCAGAGGCAGGCCAGAGGACCUAAGUGUGAUGGACCAGAGUCACUUCUCUUCUCCUCCUCCUUUCUCCAGCCAGCCCUGACCCCUCAUGCUCUCUGGCUGGGCCAGUGGGCAGCCCUCGCUUCCCUUGGAUGGAGCUGCCCUGCUGGUGCCUGGUCAGAGAAGAGGCCUCUGUGCCCAGCCUGAUUCUCUGCUCCCAGGAGCCAGUGACAUGAGGUGCAGAGGCCCACCCAGCCCCCUACCUACUGCCCCCAUUCAUCCUGGCUUUCCACAGCCCCCUCCCACACAGUUGGACCCGUGAUUCUCAGGGUGCUGUGAUGGGGUGAGGGUGGGGGGAGCAUUUGUUAUUAAAUGACUGGACUUUUG
This 1736-nucleotide small RNA is filed under the name Pan troglodytes (chimpanzee). RNAcentral's name for it is "retained intron". Lineage: Eukaryota; Metazoa; Chordata; Mammalia; Primates; Hominidae. The record is from RNAcentral.